Molecule: ribosomal RNA, 2427 nt
Filed under: Clostridioides difficile
Lineage: Bacteria; Bacillati; Bacillota; Clostridia; Peptostreptococcales; Peptostreptococcaceae
Description: bacterial LSU rRNA
Rfam family: Bacterial large subunit ribosomal RNA
Source: RNAcentral
CUACCUAGUGACCGAUAGCGUAUAGUACCGUGAGGGAAAGGUGAAAAGAACCCCGGGAGGGGAGUGAAAUAGAACCUGAAACCCUGCACUUACAAGCUGUGGAAGCACAUUUCUUGUGUGACCGCGUACUUUUUGUAGAACGGGCCAACGAGUUACGUUAAGUAGCAAGGUUAAGCACUUAAGGUGCGGAGCCGUAGCGAAAGCGAGUUUUAACUGAGCGUUCAGUUACUUGACGUAGACCCGAAACCGGGCGACCUACCCAUGAGCAGGAUGAAGCGAAAGUAAAAUUUCGUGAGGUCCGAACCCACGAGCGUUGAAAAGCUCGGGGAUGACUUGUGGGUAGCGGUGAAAUUCCAAUCGAGCCCGGAGAUAGCUGGUUCUCCCCGAAAUAGCUUUAGGCUAGCCUCAAGGUGAGAGAUACGGAGGUAGAGCACUGAAUGUCCUAGGGGGUAUUGCACCUACCGAAGACUAUCAAACUCCGAAUGCCGUCAUCUUAUACUUGGGAGUCAGACUGUGGGUGAUAAGAUUCAUAGUCGAAAGGGCAACAGCCCAGAUCGUCAGCUAAGGUCCCUAAAUGUAAGUUAAGUGGUAAAGGAUGUGGGAUUGCACAGACAACCAGGAUGUUGGCUUAGAAGCAGCCACUCAUUCAAAGAGUGCGUAAUAGCUCACUGGUCGAGUGAUCCUGCGCCGAAGAUUUCCGGGGCUAAAACUUACUACCGAAGCUACGGCAUCAGUAAUGAUGGGUAGGGGAGCUUCCCAUACGGGUUGAAGCAUGACCGUAAGGACAUGUGGACAGUAUGGGAGUGAGAAUGUUGGCAUGAGUAGCGAGAUGUGGGUGAGAAUCCCACAGGCCGUAAACCCAAGGUUUCCAGGGGAAGGUUCGUCCGCCCUGGGUUAGUCGGGACCUAAGCUGAGGCCGAAAGGCGUAGGUGAUGGACAACAGGUUGAUAUUCCUGUACUACCGAUAACCGUUUGAGAGAAGGGAUGACACAGUAGGAUAAGCUAAGCACACUGUUGGUUAUGUGUGCCCAAGCAUUGAGGCAGUCAAAGUAGGCAAAUCCGCUUUGAUAAUGCUGGGAUGUGAUGGGGAGCGAAAUUUAGUAGCGAAGUAGCUGAUUUCACACUGUCAAGAAAAGUCUCUAUCGAGGUUAAAGGUACCCGUACCGCAAACCGACACAGGUGGGUGAGGAGAGUAUCCUAAGGCCAGCGAGAGAACUGUUGUUAAGGAACUCGGCAAAAUGACCCCGUAACUUAGGGAUAAGGGGUGCCACCAUCAGGUGGCCGCAGAGAAUAGGCCCAAGCGACUGUUUACCAAAAACAUAGGUUUCUGCUAAGUCGCAAGACGAUGUAUAGGAGCUGACGCCUGCCCGGUGCUGGAAGGUUAAGGGGAUCUGUUAGAGCAAUCGAAGCAGUGAACUUAAGCCCCAGUAAACGGCGGCCGUAACUAUAACGGUCCUAAGGUAGCGAAAUUCCUUGUCGGGUAAGUUCCGACCCGCACGAAAGGCGUAACGAUUUGGGCACUGUCUCAACAACAGACUCGGUGAAAUUGUAAUUCCGGUGAAGAUGCCGGAUACCUGCGACAGGACGGAAAGACCCCAUGGAGCUUUACUGUAGCUUGACAUUGGGUCUUGGUACUACAUGUACAGGAUAGGUGGGAGGCUUUGAAACCAGGACGCCAGUUUUGGCGGAGCCAUCCUUGGGAUACCACCCUUGUAGUACUGGGACUCUAACCAUAGGCCAUGAAUCUGGUCUUGGGACACUGUCAGGUGGGCAGUUUGACUGGGGCGGUCGCCUCCCAAAAGGUAACGGAGGCGCUCAAAGGUUCUCUCAGUACGGUCGGAAAUCGUACGUAGAGUGUAAAGGCAAAAGAGAGCUUGAUUGCAAGACAUACAGGUCGAGCAAGGAUGAAAAUCGGACUUAGUGAUCCGGUGGUUCUGCGUGGAAGGGCCAUCGCUCAACGGAUAAAAGCUACCCUGGGGAUAACAGGCUUAUCUCCCCCAAGAGUCCACAUCGACGGGGAGGUUUGGCACCUCGAUGUCGGCUCAUCACAUCCUGGGGCUGUAGUAGGUCCCAAGGGUUGGGCUGUUCGCCCAUUAAAGUGGUACGCGAGCUGGGUUCAGAACGUCGUGAGACAGUUCGGUCCCUAUCCGUCGCAGGCGUAGGAAAUUUGAGAAGACCUGUCCUUAGUACGAGAGGACCGGGAUGGACGUACCUCUGGUGUACCAGUUGUUCUGCCAAGGGCAUGGCUGGGUAGCUAUGUACGGAAUGGAUAAGCGCUGAAAGCAUCUAAGCGCGAAGCCAACUUCAAGAUAAGAUUUCCCACCGCAAGGGUAAGACCCCAGAAAGACUAUCUGGUUGAUAGGUCGAAGGUGUAAGUGCAGCAAUGUAUUUAGCUUAUCGAUACUAAUAGGUCGAGGACUUGACCAA